AUUGAACGCUGGCGGCAGGCCUAACACAUGCAAGUCGAACGGUAACAGGAAGAAGCUUGCUUCUUUGCUGACGAGUGGCGGACGGGUGAGUAAUGUCUGGGAAACUGCCUGAUGGAGGGGGAUAACUACUGGAAACGGUAGCUAAUACCGCAUAACGUCGCAAGACCAAAGAGGGGGACCUUCGGGCCUCUUGCCAUCGGAUGUGCCCAGAUGGGAUUAGCUAGUAGGUGGGGUAACGGCUCACCUAGGCGACGAUCCCUAGCUGGUCUGAGAGGAUGACCAGCCACACUGGAACUGAGACACGGUCCAGACUCCGGCGGGAGGCAGCAGUGGGGAAUAUUGCACAAUGGGCGCAAGCCCGAUGCAGCCAUGCCGCGUGUAUGAAGAAGGCCUUCGGGUUGUAAAGUACUUUCAGCGGGGAGGAAGGGAGUAAAGUUAAUACCUUUGCUCAUUGACGUUACCCGCAGAAGAAGCACCGGCUAACUCCGUG
RNAcentral lists this ribosomal RNA (490 nucleotides) under uncultured bacterium. RNAcentral describes it as "partial 16S ribosomal RNA". It matches the Rfam family "Bacterial small subunit ribosomal RNA", at positions 30 to 507 of the family's 1533-position model. The record is from RNAcentral.